UGGGGUGCAGCUCACUGGUAGGGCAUGUGCCUGGCAUGUACAAGGCUCUGGGUUUUAUCCCCAGCACCACAA
Molecule: transfer RNA, 72 nt
Filed under: Cavia porcellus (domestic guinea pig)
Lineage: Eukaryota; Metazoa; Chordata; Mammalia; Rodentia; Caviidae
Rfam family: tRNA
About the family: Transfer RNA (tRNA) molecules are approximately 80 nucleotides in length. Their secondary structure includes four short double-helical elements and three loops (D, anti-codon, and T loops).
Source: Rfam by way of RNAcentral